GACGAACCGUGCGACCGUUGUUCGGAAUCACUGGGCUUAAAGGGCGCGUAGGCGGGCUGCCAAGUUCGGGGUGAAAUCCUCCCGCUCAACGGGAGAACGGCCCCGAAUACUGGCGGUCUCGAGGGAGGUAGGGGCGUGCGGAACUAUGGGUGGAGCGGUGAAAUGCGUUGAUAUCCAUAGGAACUCCGGUGGCGAAGGCGGCACGCUGGACCAACACUGACACUGAUGAGCGAAAGCCAGGGGAGCAAACGGG
RNAcentral lists this ribosomal RNA (253 nucleotides) under uncultured bacterium. RNAcentral describes it as "partial 16S ribosomal RNA". It matches the Rfam family "Bacterial small subunit ribosomal RNA", at positions 524 to 776 of the family's 1533-position model. The record is from RNAcentral.